UACGAAGGGGGCUAGCGUUGCUCGGAAUUACUGGGCGUAAAGGGUGCGUAGGCGGGUCUUUAAGUCAGAGGUGAAAUCCUGGAGCUCAACUCCAGAACUGCCUUUGAUACUGAGGAUCUUGAGUUCGGGAGAGGUGAGUGGAACUGCGAGUGUAGAGGUGAAAUUCGUAGAUAUUCGCAAGAACACCAGUGGCGAAGGCGGCUCACUGGCCCGAUACUGACGCUGAGGCACGAAAGCGUGGGGAGCAAACAGGG
Molecule: ribosomal RNA, 254 nt
Filed under: uncultured bacterium
Lineage: Bacteria
Description: partial 16S ribosomal RNA
Rfam family: Bacterial small subunit ribosomal RNA
Source: RNAcentral